GAUGAACGCUAGCGGCAGGCCUAAUACAUGCAAGCCGAACGGUAAUUCUGAUAGCAAUAUUGGAACUAGAGUGGCGUAAGGGUGCGUAACACGUAUGCAAUCUACCCGCAACAGGAGGAUAGCUCCCCGAAAGGGGAAGUUAACCCUCCAUGAGAUCACACGAGGGCAUCCGAGAGUGAUUAAAUUUGAGGAGGUUGUGGAUGAGCAUGCGACUGAUAGCUAGUUGGCAGUGUAACGGACUACCAAGGCGAUGAUCAGUAGGGGAACUGAGAGGUUGAUCCCCCACCACUGG
RNAcentral lists this ribosomal RNA (292 nucleotides) under uncultured bacterium. RNAcentral's name for it is "partial 16S ribosomal RNA". It matches the Rfam family "Bacterial small subunit ribosomal RNA", at positions 28 to 317 of the family's 1533-position model. The record is from RNAcentral.